ACAUAAAAGUUUGCUUUUUGCUUCUUUCUCUUUAUAUCUUAAUAUAGAAACUUCUAACAGAGUUUGACACGGACAUUUGCCCCAGUGUGUCAUGCUCAGAGGAAUGACUCAUAGGUCCUAAUGAGAGAGCACACUUUGGAAAAGGAUGACUGACUUUUAAAAGGAAGACCCAAACAAACCGGUCAACAGAAAUGGAGUGCUGCUCUAGUGCCAUGCCCGAGACACCUGCCAAUAGUCCUCUGCCACUCGCCAUCCCUGCAUCAGCAUCUGGGACAUGGUCAUUACACUUGACGGCUUGUCACUCCACCUCUCCUCACUCCUCAGCUCACAGAAAAGAGAUUUGUGAAAUACCAGCUCUGGUCUUGGUAAAUAUUUGUUUCCCCUGGCACCCUGGAAAAUGCAUUUUUUAAACUCUUCCUACACUUUCGGUGUGGCAGCAGCUUUAUCAGUAUGUGAAGACAGAGCGAUGAUGUGGCUUGGAUACUUGACAUUUUGUAUUGUUGCAAAGUGGCAAAUUGCACUGAGCUGUAAAUACACUAUAAAUGGUGUUGUGCUGAAUUAUAAAGACAAUUAGCAUAUU
Non-coding RNA from Macaca mulatta (Rhesus monkey), 580 nucleotides. Lineage: Eukaryota; Metazoa; Chordata; Mammalia; Primates; Cercopithecidae. The record is from RefSeq and is a predicted model, not a curated record.